AUUGAACGCUGGCGGAAUGCUUUACACAUGCAAGUCGAACGGCAGCACGGGGCAACCUGGUGGCGAGUGGCGAACGGGUGAGUAAUACAUCGGAACGUGCCCAAUCGUGGGGGAUAACGUAGCGAAAGCUACGCUAAUACCGCAUACGAUCUACGGAUGAAAGCGGGGGAUCGCAAGACCUCGCGCGAAUGGAGCGGCCGAUGGCAGAUUAGGUAGUUGGUGGGGUAAAGGCUCACCAAGCCUGCGAUCUGUAGCUGGUCUGAGAGGACGACCAGCCACACUGGAACUGAGACACGGUCCAGACUCCUACGGGAGGCAGCAGUGGGGAAUUUUGGACAAUGGGCGCAAGCCUGAUCCAGCCAUUCCGCGUGCAGGAUGAAGGCCCUCGGGUUGUAAAGCUCUUUCGGCCGGGAAGAAAUCGCAUGGGCCAAUACCCUGUGUGGAUGACGGUACCGGAAUAAGAAGCACCGGCUAACUACGUGCCAGCAGCCGCGGUAA
RNAcentral lists this ribosomal RNA (498 nucleotides) under uncultured bacterium. Its description in RNAcentral is "bacterial SSU rRNA". It matches the Rfam family "Bacterial small subunit ribosomal RNA", at positions 29 to 523 of the family's 1533-position model. The record is from RNAcentral.